UACGCAGGCGGCUUGGUAAGUCGGGUGUGAAAUCCCGGGGCUCAACCCCGGAACUGCAUUCGAAACUACUUCGCUUGAAUACGGGAGAGGGAAGCGGAAUUCCUGGUGUAGAGGUGAAAUUCGUAGAUAUCAGGAGGAACACCAGUGGCGAAAGCGGCUUCCUGGCCCGAUAUUGACGCUCAUGUACGAAAGCGUGGGGAGCAAACA
This 207-nucleotide ribosomal RNA is filed under the name uncultured bacterium. RNAcentral describes it as "partial 16S ribosomal RNA". It matches the Rfam family "Bacterial small subunit ribosomal RNA", at positions 568 to 774 of the family's 1533-position model. The record is from RNAcentral.